UGAAGUAAGUAAGGGCGUACGGUGAAUGCCUUGGUGCCAACAGGCGAAGAAGGACGCGGCAAGCUGCGAAAAGCCUCGGGAAGCUGCAAGCAAGCGAUGAUCCGGGGAUAUCCGAAUGGGGUAACCUGAUCGAGGCAAUACUCGAUCGUUCAUACCUGAAUACAUAGGGUAUGAAACGCGAAACCCGCUGAAGUGAAACAUCUCAGUAAGCGGAGGAAAAGAAAGAGAAAUCGAUUCCGUAAGUAGUGGCGAGCGAAAGCGGAUGGAGCCCAAACCGAAGGUAUUCCUUCGGGGUUGUAGGACCACGUCAUAUUCGACCAUACUGGAUAGUAGAACAGCCUGGAAAGGCUGGCCGGAGAAGGUGAAAGCCCUGUAGACGAAAUCCAGAGUGGGAAUUAGUGGUAUCCUGAGUAAUACAUCACACGUGGAACGAUGUAUGAACCCGCGCGGACCACCGCGCAAGGCUAAAUACUAGUUGGCGACCGAUAGUGAACAAGUACCGCGAGGGAAAGGUGAAAAGAACCGCUGUGAGCGGAGUGAAAUAGAACCUGAAACCGUAUGUCUACAAAGUGUCAGAGCAGAGCAAUCUGCGAUGGCGUGCCUUUUGUUUAAUGAGUCUGCGAGUCAGUGUUUGUGGCAAGACUAAGGGCUUCCGGCCCGGAGUCGCAGCGAAAGCAAGUCCGAACAGGGCGCAAUAAGUCGCAGGUACUGGACCCGAAGCGGAGGUGACCUACCCUUGGCCAGGUUGAAGCAUGGGUAAAACCAUGUGGAGGACCGAACAGGUGAACGUUGAAAAGUUCUCUGAUGAGCUGAGGGUAGGAGUGAAAGGCUAAUCAAACCCCGUGAUAGCUGGUUCUCUUCGAAAUGCAUUUAGGUGCAGCGUCACGUGCUGAUGCGCGGGGGUAGAGCACUGACAAGGCUAGGGGGCACACCCGCUUACCAAACCUUAUCAAACUCCGAAUACCGUGCAAUGGAACGUGGCAGUGAGACAGUGGGGGAUAAGCUUCAUUGUCGAGAGGGAAACAACCCAGACCAGCAGCUAAGGUGCCUAAAUAACGCUCAGUGGAAAGGAUGUGGGAUUACACAGACAGUGAGGAUGUUGGCUUAGAAGCAGCCACCAUUUAAAAAAUGCGUAAUAGCUUACUCAUCGAGUGAUCCUGCGCCGAAAAUGAUUGGCGAUCAAGCGUUAUACCGAAGCUCUGGACUUUGCCGCAAGGCAGAGUGGUAGAAGAGCGUUGCAUGCGCGUCGAAGGGCGAUGGCGACUGACCCUGGAGCACAUGCAAGUGAGUAUGCAGACAUGAGUAACGUUAAGCCGGGUGAAAUCCCCGGCCGCCGUAAACCCGAGGUUUCCAGGGCAACGUGUUUCGUCCCUGGGUUAGCCGGGACCUAAGCCGAGGCCGAGAGGCGUAGGCGAUGGACAUCAGGUUAAUAAUCCUGAGCUCGCAACCCUUAAACUGGGGGGACGCAUGAGAAAAGAUGACUAGGUUAUUGAAUUCCGAGUUGAGUCUACGGACUCAGCGCAUCAUUGGAUCGAGUGCCAAGAAAAGCCCCAGCGUAUGCUAAGCGACCCGUACCGCAAACCGACACAGGUGGGUGGGUAGAAUAUACCAAGGCGUAAGAGUGAAACCUGGUUAAGGAACUCGGCAAAUUAGCCCCGUAACUUCGGAAGAAGGGGUGCCUGCAGCGAUGCAGGCCGCAGAGAAAUGGCCCAACCGACUGUUUAUCAAAAACACAGCACUCUGCAAAGACGCAAGUCGAAGUAUAGGGUGUGACACGUGACCAAUGCCGAAAGAUUAAGGCAAGGGGUUAGCCGCAAGGCGAAGCUCUAAACCCAAGUCCCGGUGAAUGUCGGCCGUAACUAUAACGGUCCUAAGGUAGCGAAAUUCCUUGUCGGGUAAGUUCCGACCUGCACGAAUCGUGAAACGAGUUGGGCACUGUCUCAACCAGGCGCUCAGUGAAAUUGUAGUGGCGGUGAAGAUGCCGCCUACCCGCAGAAGGACGGAAAGACCCUAUAGACCUUAACUGUAAGCUGUCAUUGUUUCUUCGGUUUUAAUGCUCAGAGUAAGUGGGAGACGCUGAAGACGCCCUUUAGGGGGCGUCCGAGUCAUCAAUGAGACACCACCCUUUGAAACUGGAGGAUCUAACCCUGAGCCGUGAAUCCGGCCAGAGGACCGUGUCAGCCGGUCAGUUUUACUGGGGCGGUAUCCUCCCAAAGAGUAACGGAGGAGCGCGAAGGUGGGCUCAGCCCGGUUGGCAACCGGGUGUCGAGUGCAUGGGCAUAAGCCCGCCUAACUGUGAGACCAACAAGUCGAGCAGAUGCGAAAGCAGGCCCAAGUGAUCCGGCGGUAGAAAGUGGAAUUGCCGUCGCUCAACGGAUAAAAGGUACCUUAGGGAUAACAGGCUGAUCACGCCCAAGAGUUCAUAUCGACGGCGUGGUUUGGCACCUCGAUGUCGGCUCAUCGCAU
This 2466-nucleotide ribosomal RNA is filed under the name human gut metagenome. Its description in RNAcentral is "bacterial LSU rRNA". It matches the Rfam family "Bacterial large subunit ribosomal RNA", at positions 1 to 2545 of the family's 2925-position model. The record is from RNAcentral.